UGGGGAAUAUUGGACAAUGGGCGCAAGCCUGAUCCAGCCAUGCCGCGUGGAUGAUGAAGGCCUUAGGGUUGUAAAAUCCUUUCGCCGAGGACGAUAAUGACGGUACUCGGAGAAGAAGCUCCGGCUAACUUCGUGCCAGCAGCCGCGGUAAUACGAAGGGGGCUAGCGUUGUUCGGAUUUACUGGGCGUAAAGCGCAUGUAGGCGGGUCGUUAAGUUGGGGGUGAAAUCCCGAGGCUCAACCUCGGAACUGCCUUCAAAACUGGCGACCUGGACUCAAGCAGAGGCAAGUGGAAUUGCGAGUGUAGAGGUGAAAUUCGUAGAUAUUCGCAGGAACACCAGUGGCGAAGGCGGCGAUCUGGACGGAUACUGACGCUGAGGUGCGAAAGCGUGGGGAGCAAACAGGAUUAGAUACCCAAGUAGUCCCUGAGCGGGCUGGCAAGGCGCAU
Molecule: ribosomal RNA, 447 nt
Filed under: uncultured bacterium
Lineage: Bacteria
Description: bacterial SSU rRNA
Rfam family: Bacterial small subunit ribosomal RNA
Source: RNAcentral